This 562-nucleotide ribosomal RNA is filed under the name uncultured bacterium. RNAcentral describes it as "bacterial SSU rRNA". It matches the Rfam family "Bacterial small subunit ribosomal RNA", at positions 148 to 703 of the family's 1533-position model. The record is from RNAcentral.
CCGGAGAAAUCGGGACUAAUACCGCGUGGUACACCGGUGGGGCAUCCCACGGGUGUUAAAAGGAAGUGAUUCCGGCGGAGGAUGGGCAUGCGGCGCAUUAGCUAGUUGGCGGGGUAACGGCCCACCAAGGCGACGAUGCGUAGGGGUUCUGAGAGGAAGGUCCCCCACACUGGUACUGAGACACGGACCAGACUCCUACGGGAGGCAGCAGUGAGGAAUAUUGGUCAAUGGGCGGGAGCCUGAACCAGCCAAGUCGCGUGAGGGAAGACGGUCCUAUGGAUUGUAAACCUCUUUAGGCGGGGAGCAAUGCCGGGCACGCGUGCCCGGAGGGAGAGUACCCGCAGAAUAAGCAUCGGCUAACUCCGUGCCAGCAGCCGCGGUAAUACGGAGGAUGCGAGCGUUAUCCGGAUUUAUUGGGUUUAAAGGGUGCGUAGGCGGAUUUUUAAGUCAGCGGUAAAAUGUCCGGGCUCAACCCGGGCCGGCCGUUGAAACUGGGGAUCUUGAGUGGGCGAGAAGUAUGCGGAAUGCGUGGUGUAGCGGUGAAAUGCAUAGAUAUCACGCA